This 253-nucleotide ribosomal RNA is filed under the name uncultured bacterium. RNAcentral describes it as "partial 16S ribosomal RNA". It matches the Rfam family "Bacterial small subunit ribosomal RNA", at positions 524 to 776 of the family's 1533-position model. The record is from RNAcentral.
UACGAGGGGGGCAAGCGUUGUUCGGAAUUAUUGGGCGUAAAGGGCGCGUAGGCGGUUUGACAAGUCUGAUGUGAAAUCUAUGGGCUCAACCCAUAGCCUGCAUUAGAAACUGUCGGGCUUGAGUAUGGGAGAGGUGAGUGGAAUUUCCGGUGUAGCGGUGAAAUGCGUAGAUAUCGGAAGGAACGCCUGUGGCGAAAGCGGCUCACUGGACCAUAACUGACGCUGAGGCGCGAAAGCUAGGGGAGCAAACAGG